Manis pentadactyla (Chinese pangolin) is the source of this 3909-nucleotide long non-coding RNA. RefSeq lists it as uncharacterized. The record is from RefSeq and is a predicted model, not a curated record. NCBI's taxonomy places the organism in Eukaryota, Metazoa, Chordata, Mammalia, Pholidota, Manidae. The transcript has 4 exons.
GGGAAAGGCAAGCAAACAGGUUGUUACGUCACUCUGAGGGCAGAGAGGGGGCGAGCCACAGUGCGGAGGAAUUACGCUCCGGCUGCAGGCCGCUGUGGGAUUGGAGAAUCAGUUCUGUCAGUGGGACACACAGCCAAGUGGCCAUGGAAGGUUAUCUGGAUGGCUGUAGGUUGUGAAAGGCAGUAGCUUUCUAUGGCUCAUGGAGAUGAGUGUUUUUUUUUAAAUCAAAUUAGCAGACCAUCUUUGUGCUUAACUAUGACGCUCCCUGUGUGACAAGAGAGCUUUCCUGGGAGGCGAAGGGCCAUCUGAAGCGGCUCACUUCUUUGGAGCCUGGGAGAGCAGGUGUGGUUGUAGAAGGCUGACUGCCUUGCUGGACUCCCCCAAACCCAAAGAAAUGGUGUGCUUAUCUUCCAGAACAUCUUUCUGGCAGGACCUGUACAGCCAAGGUGUCCCAUGGCGACUCAGGGAUGUCUGUCCCUCUCCCUGCCCCAUCGAGGUCCCAGGGCUUGGUGUGUGGCUUCCUCGGUGCUGGCUCACUCAGAGGCAAUGGCACUGGUUCCGGAACACUUUUGGAAGGUCAACGGAGCAUUACUUGGGAGCCUUUCUCUGGCAGAUAAAAUAGCUCAGCCAUGUGGAGAGUAAGCAAACAGGUUUUGGAGUUAGAGAAAUAAGGAAGGGUGCUGGGGGGUGGCAGGCAGGAAGGCACUGAAUGCAAAACACUUGUCCUUGCCAAGAGUGAGUAUAAAGCUUAGUAACACACAUGAGCAGGUUCACUUUUAGGCCCUAAACCAGAGCUCCCAGCGAAAUACCCAAAGCUACACUGAGGUUGAAUUCAGGAAGGAGACUUUAUCUGUCAGUCAAGGCCUGUGCAUGUGCAUUUAGUCCCGCUAAGACUUUUAAAGGAGAUGGUUCCUUUGGGCAUUAUAAAGCCACACUUUCUACCUUAGCAAAAAUCUUUAUAAUUUCUUUGCUCAAAUGAUCACAGGCACUUAAUUUGCAAAGCAAACCAACACCCACGGCAGCAUAGUCCAGAAACCUCAGUACCAAGUCUGCUCUUGUAUUAACCUUGAAAUUACAAAUACGGAAGGAAGUUAUAUACAGAAAAUGGCCCCAGAGCAUGUCAGUGAUGGUUUUUGCUCACUUUGGAGAAUUAAAGUUGAAUUCAGUAUAAGAGGCUCCUGGGCUCUCCAAGCAACAAAUAGCCACUUACUAGCUGGGUAACCUCAGAACUUGGGCAUGGAAAUGGCACCUAAAUCAUACCUCCAGGCACACUGUAUAUGCUUAAUAUAUGGUAACUAUUAUUAUUAAUAAAUACAUACAACAAAUGCCCAUUAAAGGCAAACUAUGGAUUGAAAAUACCCUAGUAUGUUAUUCCGAGGGUUCACUUUACUCUUGGGGCAGGGAAGGUAGGGUCAGCGUAACCUCCUGGUAAAAACGAAUUAAAAAAUCCAGAACCUCUCUGGAGAGGAGAAUGUAGGGGCCACCCCAGAAUCCCAGGGCUUCUUAACAUCAAGGCAAAUAUUACAGUUAGGUGACGGUGGUGAUUUCCCUUCCCCAGAGAGCAGCCUCUCUCCCUCCUCUGACUUGCCUCGGAUGGGCCUGGGUGUGACCCUCAUCCUGCUGCCCAGAAUGGUGCCCUGUCCUCCUCAUGUUGUGUGCGGGUGGGAGGGCGUGGACGGUGCUGGACAAUUGUGCACCCAACAUAUCCUUACCCCACAGGUAAUACCUUGGCAGGAAAAAUUAAGAUCAAGAUCUACUGACAAAAAAAUGUUAGAAAAGAUUAUUUUUUUACAUUGAAAGUACAAAAAUCAAAUCCUGGACGCAUAAAGCAGGAUGAAGAGUUGGGUUUCCUCUCCCAUUCCAUCUGGUUCACGGCUUCCUAUUCUGGAGGGGCUGGGACUUUGGGCCCAAUGCAGAGCUGACCCAGGCCAGAAUGAGAGCUUCUAGAACAACACCCGAUGCAAUCUGAGAGGAUCCAGCCAAGCUCCCCUAGCGCAAGGUGACAUUUUUGAACCUGGACUGGGAAUCCAAGUUAUUCCCACGGGUUUAAAUUUUGUGGCUAUUAAAACUGUUGCUCUAAAGACAGAAGGUUCUCCACGCCAUGCCUGGCCACCUCGGGCUGCUUUCCGAGGGAGGCUUGCGAGCUCGCAGGCAGCUCACUGAAUCACACCCCUGCCGUCUUAUCUUGAAUGUGGAGUUCUCCAGGGUGAGAUUAGGUUGUUCAAAUUAGAAACUGGGAUUAGCCAGAGAGAGGCUAUCUUCCAGAAUGAUUUCCUUUUCUUUUUGCUGCCCAGACUUACUGAUUUCUGAAGCCGUAUCUGGGCAGCUGCAACGAUGCCCGGCUUCCUCCCUAAGCGGGAAGUGCAUACGAUUAAUCAGGAGGGCUGCGCCUUUAUCUCAGAGUGCAGCUAGAUAGCUGGUAAAGGCCUCACUCUCCAAUUUUCUUCUGAGUAAACAGGCCGUGUGUAAAGCCGUUCAAUCUUUCAUGAGAAUUGCAGCCAGAAACGUGGUGGUUUGCUGGAGGCUCUCAAGGCUGUGUCUGCCUGGAAACAUUUUUGCAAUUAGCCCAGUCCAUUUUCAUCAGGGGUCAUCUUUCUGUCUAUAAAAGACUUAGGCUUUUAGUUUUGAAGGAGCAUAUGAUGGAGGCCUUUGUUAAUGGGACAAAAUCUCCUCACUGAAUUUAACUUUAAGCUAAUGCAGCUUUGGGUACUUUGUUUAAAAAUUUUGGUUUGAGGCUAGAUUUGCUUCUACUUUAAAAUAUGCCCCGAGACUCUUGCUCAUAAACACUCCGAUUGACAACUGUUUUGCAUUCACGAUCUUAUUCCUCUCCUCUGGGGAAGGAGGAGGCGAUGCUUUUGAAUGAAAGCCCUCCUGUCUAAUGUUCUCCUGUAUAAAGGCCAUGGCCCUGGAAUGUCUCCAGCUUAAUCUAGCAGUUGACCUCAACAAGGUCCCCAUGGCUCCAUCCCUAAUUCAUUCCAUUUCGGGCUCUGCAUUAUCUGCCCAGGGCCUGGCUGCCAGGGAGCAAAGCACCUGAUAACUAUUACCGGUUCACAGCAACAUGCUUAGGCAUCUUCUGAACUUCUCUCAGGCCAAAGUCAUGAACCCAGUUGGUGCUCUACAAAUGCUUGCUGUUACUGGCCCUAGUGCUUACUUCAGGAUGUGGCAACUUGGACCACGGGAGAAGAGCAGACCUUCCAGACAUGGUCACUAACGAUAACGUGAAAGGAAAAUGUGGACUCUCAUGGGUUGAAACAUUUUGAUGUAUAUCCAGAAAAAGGCAUUUGGAACAGAGAUUUCAGGGCACUAGGUGGGGCAUGCUGCUACCGACGACUUCACUGACUGUGAGCCCCGGGGGCUGUGUGCACCCCGUGACCGAGGGGCAGGUGAAAGGGAGGCGAGGCGGAUGACCUGAUGUAAAAUUCAGCGAAACACACCGCAGUGAGGGUCUCAGCCCCGAAGGUAACGGGCGUCUGGCCCAUCACCGGGAAGUCCGCCGUUUUUAGUCAAGUGACAACUUGCUCCAGCAAAAGAACGGUUCUUCCCGGUUUUAAGGAAUAUUAGUAAACUGGCUGGUUAUUGGCUUUUGCUCAAGGACUUGUCCCGGGGCCACAUCGUCCCAGAGGCACACCCACGGGGCCAGGCUGAGGAAGGGUGCGUCGCAGUCCUCUCUGCCUGCAGAGCGGGGACCCCAGGCUGCGGGUCCUCCAGCCACUGGCCGAGGAGCCCGGCCCCAUCCUGACCCUACCAGGCCAGCAACCGCCACGCAGUGCCACCCGGUGACCCCCAGGGAGAUGCCCAGCCUCUCGGAUCCAGCCAAAGGUGAGCGACUAGGCAGAGGAGUGGUGCGCGCAGCAGGGGACCCGCUGAGGAGGCCCCACGGGAGGCUCUCACACCGAGGGGGGUGCGCAG